Long non-coding RNA from Ictidomys tridecemlineatus (thirteen-lined ground squirrel), 1319 nucleotides. RefSeq lists it as uncharacterized. NCBI's taxonomy places the organism in Eukaryota, Metazoa, Chordata, Mammalia, Rodentia, Sciuridae. The record is from RefSeq and is a predicted model, not a curated record.
CUCAGCACCCCUGUGCCAAGCGCCUGCCUGCCUCCAGAAGCAGGGGGUCCCGUGCCAGGAGACUCAGUCAGGAGGAAUGCCCCCCGCCCGCCCGCCUGUGCCCACUGAGGGCGACUCACGCGCCUGGCAUUCCAGUGGUGCCAAGUGACGGACCUGUUGCUGCGCCAGGCAGGAUCACCUUUCUUCCCCAUCCCAGGCUGAGUCCUCUGUCCCUGAGCGCACGCCCACCACAGGAACAGGGUUACUCAGAUUUGGGAUGGCACCAGAAGAUCUCAGAAGUGACAAUCUCCCCAAUUAACAAGUGGGUCACAACUCUGGACACGGAACGCAGGGAGGGCAGCCUUUGAUUCCCCCCCUUUAAAACCCCCUGCUCCCCUGAUGGCCGGAAUCCCCGCCUCUGGGAGAGGAGUCCUCUGUGUUUUCUUCCUUCGCUAGUAAAGCAGUAAAACUUCUUUUUCCUUUUUUUCUCAAAAUCGUGCCCUCAUGAUUGGAUGGUCAUCACUGAGCUUUCGGGGACACCCCACCAGCUGAGGAUCAGAAGGUUGCAAGAGAGUUGUGCGGGCUGUGGAGGCACCGCGGAGACCCCUGGGCUAGGCGGAGGAGGGAAGCGAGCCAGAUCCACCUCCAUUCAAGACACCCAGUCUUUGAAGCCAAGCAUGGAGUCAUCUUUGAUUCACCCUUCUCACUCUCCAAAUCCAACUCAUGAGCAAGGCCUUCCAGGCACCCCACCCCAAAACACUUAAAUCUACUAUUGUUUCUCCACUUGCCAGGAGGACAGGGAGAAAAUGGGUGUCACUAAGCUGCUGAACAUCUCACCAAGCUGUCCAGGCUAGCCUGGAACUUAUGAUCCUCCUGCCUCAGCCUCUGGAGUCCCUGGGAUUACAGAUGGGACACUAAGCAUCGGAGAAGAGAUGUCCCCUGCUCAAGUUCACAAAGCUGAUACGUGGCACACAGCAGAGAUUCAAACCUCAUCGGACUCCAAAGAGCAAGUUCUUGAUAAGGACUAAGCAGCCACUAUUUUUUUUAAUAGAACUGAUGUUCAAUAAAAAUAAAAACUUUAAAGCAAGGCCUGAGAAGCAACACCUGGAAGCUCUUCCUGCUUACAAGGCGCCGGCAGCUCUUCUGUUGGAAAGGGGUUCUGGGAAGCUCUGGUUACCAAGGAGAAAGGAACCAGCUACCAAUCGCUUUAAGAGCACUUAAAAGCAACGGAGGAAGGCUUCCUUCUGCAGCUGUAUUGUACAUUUUUGUUGCUGGGACCACCCAUCUAAUAUACAGAGAUAUGUUUUUAAUAUACAUAUUAAAGGUUUUAUUAUAUACAA